Non-coding RNA from Camponotus floridanus (Florida carpenter ant), 155 nucleotides. The record is from Rfam. NCBI's taxonomy places the organism in Eukaryota, Metazoa, Arthropoda, Insecta, Hymenoptera, Formicidae.
UACCCUGAACGGUGGAUCACUUGGCUCGUGGGUUGAUGAAGAACGCAGCUAAUUGCACGUCAACUUGUAAACUGCAGAACACAUGAACAUCGAUGUUUCGAACGCACAUUGCGGUCCACGGAUACAAUUCCCGGACCACGCCUGGCUGAGGGUCG